UACGGAAGGCAGCAGUGGGGAAUAUUGCACAAUGGGCGCAAGCCUGAUGCAGCCAUGCCGCGUGUAUGAAGAAGGCCUUCGGGUUGUAAAGUACUUUCAGUCGUGAGGAAGGUGUUAAGGUUAAUAACCUUAGCAAUUGACGUUAGCGACAGAAGAAGCACCGGCUAACUCCGUGCCAGCAGCCGCGGUAAUACGGAGGGUGCGAGCGUUAAUCGGAAUUACUGGGCGUAAAGGGCACGCAGGCGGUUAAUUAAGUUGGAUGUGAAAUCCCCGGGCUUAACCUGGGAAUGGCAUUCAAGACUGGUUAGCUAGAGUCUUGUAGAGGGGGUAGAAUUCCAUGUGUAGCGGUGAAAUGCGUAGAGAUGUGGAGGAAUACCGGUGGCGAAGGCGGCCCCUGGACAAAGACUGACGCUCAUGUGCGAAAGCGUGGGGAGCAAACGAGGGAUUUAGAU
RNAcentral lists this ribosomal RNA (452 nucleotides) under uncultured bacterium. RNAcentral's name for it is "bacterial SSU rRNA". It matches the Rfam family "Bacterial small subunit ribosomal RNA", at positions 340 to 783 of the family's 1533-position model. The record is from RNAcentral.